This 329-nucleotide unclassified non-coding RNA is filed under the name soil metagenome. RNAcentral describes it as "partial contains 5.8S ribosomal RNA, internal transcribed spacer 2, and large subunit ribosomal RNA". The stretch from base 1 to 120 matches the Rfam family "5.8S ribosomal RNA", at positions 35 to 154 of the family's 154-position model. The record is from RNAcentral.
GAUUAAGAACGUAGCGAAAUGCGAUAAGUAGUGUGAAUUGCAGAAUUCAGUGAAUCAUCGAAUCUUUGAACGCACAUUGCGCCCCUUGGUAUCCCGAGGGGCAUGCCUGUUCGAGCGUCAUUUCACCACUCAAGCCUGGCUUGGUGUUGGGCGACGUCCCCUUUGGGGACGCGCCUCGAAACGCUCGGCGGCGUGGCACCGGCUUUAAGCGUAGCAGAAUCUUUCGCUUUGGAAGUCGGGGCCCCGUCUGCCGGAAGACCUACUCGCAAGGUUGACCUCGGAUCAGGCAGGGAUACCCGCUGAACUUAAGCAUAUCAAUAAGCGGAGGA